This 494-nucleotide ribosomal RNA is filed under the name uncultured bacterium. RNAcentral's name for it is "bacterial SSU rRNA". It matches the Rfam family "Bacterial small subunit ribosomal RNA", at positions 34 to 518 of the family's 1533-position model. The record is from RNAcentral.
CGCUAGCUACAGGCUUAACACAUGCAAGUCGAGGGGCAGCAUGAUCUAAGCUUGCUAGAUGAUGGCGACCGGCGCACGGGUGAGUAACGCGUAUCCAACCUUCCCUAUAGUAGAGGAUAGCCCGGCGAAAAGUCGGAUUAAGUACUCUAUGUUUUCCAAUGCAGACAUCUAAAAUGGAACAAAGGUUUACCGCUAUAGGAUGGGGAUGCGUCUGAUUAGGUGUUGCGGGGUAACGGCCCACCAAGCCUACGAUCAGUAGGGGUUCUGAGAGGAAGGUCCCCCACAUUGGAACUGAGACACGGUCCAAACUCCUACGGGAGGCAGCAGGUGAGGAAUAUUGGUCAAUGGGCGAGAGCCUGAACCAGCCAAAGUAGCGUGCAGGAUGACGGCCCUAUGGGUUGUAAACUGCUUUUAUACGGGGAUAAGGUGAGGGACGCGUCCCUUUUGUAGGUACCGUAUGAAUAAGGACCGGCUAAUUCCGUGCCAGCCGCCGC